Molecule: long non-coding RNA, 3937 nt
Organism: Piliocolobus tephrosceles (Ugandan red Colobus)
Lineage: Eukaryota; Metazoa; Chordata; Mammalia; Primates; Cercopithecidae
Exons: 2
Source: RefSeq, a predicted model, not a curated record
GCCUCCCCUCUACCACACCACCACCCGUGGCUGCAGCUGUUGCCGCACAGCUCUGAGCGAGCCGAGGUCCUAGCAUGGCUUCCUCCCCUCCGCCCCUUGAUUGCCAGGCACACCUGUUGCACAAUCCUCUCUGAAGUCGGCGGGAGAGCGGCCUGGACCAGCCUCAGAAUUUACACCUGCAGCAGCCCCUCGUUUAGCUUUCUGGAUCCCAAGGGUACAACAAGGCUUCCCUCUCCUGGCCCCUGCGCGGGCACACGGGAUCCGGCUUUGCUGCUGGAGGGCGGCCAAGCUGGGGGUACGACUGAACCCACCACCCCGUGUGCGACGCAGAGCUGCCCUCCAGCCCGUCCCGUCUCCCCCUCCCCAUCCCCGUCCCCUUUCUUGCUCUUUGGAGAGGCUCCGGAAACGUUUGUCCGGUGGUUAAGGGCAGAAGGGCAGAGAUGAGCUGGGACCUCGACACCAGCUGGAACUGGAAAAUUAUCAAGCAGGGAGUGGCCUCCCCCGGGAACUUCCUUAACUCUGGUCCUGACCUGCAUCCCUCAGAAGCCUGCGGCUUUUCAAGAUUGACAGAGCUAAAGACAAUGGAAACAGUAUCAAUAGAAAGAAAGCUACAGGCCACAGUACCACAGUACCAGAACAUCAAGCUAUUUGGCUGCAGAUGUGUACUACUCUUCAAGAUAAGAAAAAGCAGUAAUCCUGAAGGCAAUUCAGAGGUCAUCAGGUCUGCCUCCUUGGUUUUCAGUGGGGGAGAGAGCCAUUGCCUUGGUUUCAGCAGGCUAGACAGUGGCAGCCUAGAGCCUGGAGAAUGAGAAUUCCACUCAGCUGAGCCUUGGGAGUGGAUGUGACUCUCACAUUGCAGAGCUUUGAGGGCACAACCCCCACCCAAAAGAGCCUUGCAGGACAUGGGUCUCGAAGACAGAGCAUCAUACUAAAAAGAAUUAUUCUUGAGCCUCAAGAUCUGAUGGCAUUUGUUUGCUAGGUUUUGAACUUGAUUUGGAUAUGUUACUCCUCUCUUCCUCCCAACUUCUCCAUUUUGUAAUGGGAAAGUCUAUUCUAUGCCUGUUCCACUAUUAUAAUUUGGAAGUACAUAACUUACCUGGUUUUACAGGCUCACAGCUGGAAAGAAAUUUUGUCUCAGGAUGAAUUGUACCUUGAGUCUCAUUCAUAUCUGAUUUAGAUGUUUCUUAAGUGAGACUUUGAAGUUCAGAGUUGAUGAUAGAAUGAGUUAUGGAUUUUGGUACUAUUGGGAUAGAAUUAAUACAUUUUAUGUGCAAGAAAGACAUGAAUGAUGGGGGCCAGGGGUGGAAUGUUAUGAACUAAAUGUUUGUGUACCUCUCCUGCCAAAUUCAUAUGUUGAAACUCUCACCCCUAAUGUGAUGGUAUUUGGAGUCAAGGCCUCUGGAAGUUAAUUAGGUUUAUAAAGGUGGGGGUCUCAUGAUGGGAUGAGCGUCCUUACAACAGGAAGAAGAGAAACCAGAGCUUGGACUCUCUGCCAUGUGAGAACACAGUAAGAAACUGGCUGUCUCCAAGACAGAAAGAGGUCCCUCACCAGAAACCAGAUCUGCUGGUACUUUGAUUUUGAACUUCCCAGGCUCCAGAACUAUGAGAAUCAAACAUCUCCUGUUUAAGACAGCUUAUGAUAUUUUGUUGUAGCAGCCUGUGCCGACUAAGACAAGACUGAAGAGAUAUGGGUGUCAAUGACUGGUGACUACACAAAAGGAAGUGAGGAGCAUGGUAUGUAUUUUCUCUAAGAAAAUGUCGAUCAUCUUAGAGAAGAUUUACAUCAACAUGAAGAGACCAAUGGUAGAAAAAUACAGAAUUAAAUGCACUGCAGGUGAAGGUUCAGAUGAGUGAAAAGAAAAAAACUUGUUUUUGGAAACUGGAGGAAUGGAGAUCUUUUCCAUAGCAUGGCAGACAGCUCAGCUGAAUUGUAUCAUGCAGUAAAUGUAAAGUUACUUACUAUUUUAUUCUUUUGAAAUUAAUAAGUAUCUUAUAAGAAGCUACUUUGAGACAAUGUAAGUAAGUACUGCAUACUGCUUUUCCUUAAAGGUUCAUCACUAAUUUUAGCAGCCACUGAUGUUUCCUUGCUGGAAUAAAAUUAUUGUGAUGAUGACUGUCAAAUGGUCAUUUCCUACCUUCAUCAUUUCUUCUAUAUCUUUUAGUUGACUUCUACUGCAACAAACAAGCAAAAACUCCUUUUCUUCUUUCCUUUUCAUCUAAUCCCUCCCUUUCUUCUUUCCUGCUUUCUCCUUUACUUUUUGGAGCAGAUAAGUUCUUGAGGGAGCCAUGAAUCAUAUCAAAAAAGUGUCAUAUUAUUUUAGCUACUGGAUUGAUGGUGACUAUUGUUUUCCUUGUCAGAAAAUAAUUACUAAAGAAAGUAAAUAUAGACACUCUCUUAACUGAUCUUAAUUUACCCAACUCCUUGGGUUGACAUUUCCUAUUCUGUCGGUAAAACCUAAUUAUUAGCUCAAAUUAUGCUGAAUACGCUUGACAAUUACAUCAAGAGAGUCCCUAUUGAGUCUCUAGUUCUAGGGUACAUCUACUCUCUCAAAAGUUCUACAGCAAAUAAAGGUGAUUUGUAUUUAUUUGUAAAUCAGUUUAUACAAAAGAUUAUUGUAGUUACAGAAAGUAGAUAUUUUUACUUGCUUUGAUUAAAUAUUAAUAUAAAAGAUUGUUUCUAUGUAAAUCAUAGUAAAACUUUAUUGUUUUACACUAAGAUACCUUUGAAAGUGUCUUAGAAUUCUUACUCUAUUGAAACAAAAAUAAACUGUGUAUUUUUCUACAAGAAAGACAAGGCAGAAUAGUAGACCCACAUUUGGCCCUUGCCCCUACUUAAAAGACUGAUAAAUAAAUAAAUGAUAAUAACAAAAUAAUAAAAUUUACCCUUAAUUUAUUUUAAGUAUAUUCAUCUUUUUUACAGAUAUGCUUCUUCAUCUUUUAUUGACUUUUUUACUUACACAACUAAUUACUAAUACCAGUCUCCUCAGAUAAAUGAACUUUGGUUAUUUUGAUAGCUUUCAGGACCUGAAACGUAUAUCAAUUCACACUGUAAAUUUGAAAGAUAGAUAAUUCAACAGUUUUAGGCCAUCUACCAUGUAUACAAGUUUUGGUGAUGACCAAAUCACCAUGAGAAAAUUUCUGUGUAGAUAAAGUAACUUUUCCAUCUGAAAACGCUAGACUAGUUCCUAGAGAAUAAUCAGGCAAGCCAUGCUGCUUGGGGGGGAAAAAAAAAACAGAGCUUUAGAGAAGUCCGCCACCAGGAUUCCUAGAGACUGAGAGAGAGCUAUGAGGAGGAAAGGACACUUGAUCUUUCCCACCUCAGCCUCUCAAAGUGGGAUUACAGGUGUCAACCACCACGUCUGGCCCCAACCUGAACUUCUUAAUGUGACUAGGACACUGUAUGAUGUAGCCACUCUUUAGAUGUCCCACCCCCUGCACGUCUUUCACUCAUGAAGGAACACAAAACCAGUGGCCUAACCACAUUUCAGACCCCUGAGCUGACUUCUGUUUAUGUUCUUUCCUUUGCCUGAAAUAAUCUUCUCACUUCCCUUUUGUCCAGCAAGCUUUCUUAGUUUAAAAGUUACUUCACCUAAUUUCCUGACCAUUAAAACUGAGUUCAGUGUCCCUACUAACCCUCUCCAUAGUACUCUGAAUCCUAUAAUCACACAUUCCAUAGGUAUAAUUGACCUUAAGCACCUUGUAGAAAAUAACUUUUGUUGCUUAGUGAGACAUCAUACCUAGCAUAACUCCUGGCCCAGUAUAGAAGCUCUGUAUGUACUUGUUAAAUAAUUGAUGAGCAGUUUCAGUGCCCUUAAAUCAAUCAACUUUACAUUUUUUAUAUUAAUUUCAAUUAUAAAGAAAGUUUACAAAUACAUUUAUGUGAAUUAUUUGAGUGAAUCUUAUUCAUAAAAACCAAAAUAGAUUUGCAAAAAAAAAA